Molecule: long non-coding RNA, 11881 nt
Filed under: Sorghum bicolor (sorghum)
Lineage: Eukaryota; Viridiplantae; Streptophyta; Magnoliopsida; Poales; Poaceae
Description: long non-coding RNA (SBIC_LNC011462)
Source: RNAcentral
UAAUGGGACAUCAUAGACUCAAGUUCUAUCCCAGGUGAACCCCUUCAUGAGGUAGACAACUUCCACUCGUGCAGAGAACCUUUUUUUUACAGCCAGGGUGGUAAUUAGUGGAUUUCUUAAAAAGACAUUUACUAGUAAUUGCUGUGAUCAACCAUUAUCACUAAUUAGUCAACCAUAUUUUGAUUCCAAAUCCAUUUUUUUGUAAUAUUUGCUUGUAAGGUUGUUAUAGUGUUAUAAUAUGUCGCCCAUCAUUUCAAUUUUCACACAUUGUCAAGUAGGCAUUAUGGACAGCAAGUAGGGAGAUACAUCGGUCUUAGUUAAAGAUAUCGGCAUAUCUGCAUAUGGCACAGUAGGAUUUUAAAAAACAAGCCACCACUAGGUUGUAGGCUAGGCAGUUUUUACUUACUAUAUGGCUGCAAUACCUUGAGGAUGAAUGGAUGAUUGCAAUCUUGUAUGGCCACUAAUAAUCAGGAGAAAUACAAAGUGGAAACGACAAUGUGCAUGUUUAUAGUAAAUGCUCAAACUGGGGCAACCGGCUUAAGAAGAAUAAACAAGUCUUUUGGAAAUAAAAGGAGGUGAAAAGUUUAUUAGUCAACUUGAAAUUCUCAGUGCAGAUUUUUGUCAAAAGUUGGAAGGCUCACAGGUUUCAUAGGGAAGUGGUCUAUCCAGCAAUUCAGAAUGCGGAAAGGGAACCAUAAACCAGAGCCCUGUUACCCCUUGUGUUUAGUUCACCCCGAAAUCCAAAAAGUUUUCAAGAUUCCCUGUCACAUCAAAUUUUGCGGCACAUGUGUCACACCCAUAUUUUAAGAGCAAAAUAGGAUGCAUAAAAGACUCAUAUGUGCCCCAGAAACAGUCGCACACAUAAGUAGACAAAUCUCAAAUGUACCAUCGCAGUGUUUAUUACAUAGCGGAAUAUAAAAUAUCACAUAGUCUCAUACAAAAAUGAUAACAUAAAGUAAACAACGCUCUCAACGGAAGCUCCACACAGGGACACUGUUGACUGGUUGACUCCAAACCUAGUACUCAUAACGGUAGUCCUCAUUCCAGUCAUCUUCAUUAUCAUAUCCUGAGGUGUUGGGAAAUUGCAAGAGUGAGCACAUAUCGUACUCAACAAGUAUAACCAGGGGUUCAUGAGGCUCAAAUAGCUGACACUGGUUUGACUGCAUUUAGCUUUUAAUAGUGGAUAGCAUGUUCAUAAUUAAAUAGCAAUUCUCAAGGUAGCAUAAAUAAUCAAUUAAUCCCAUGAUCAAUGUAAGCAUAAUUAACUCAUAGCAUAAACAAUAAUCAAAUGAACAUAAUAACAUAACAAGCUCAUCAUCUUAAUGUAGAUGUCCCCAAGGCCGCUCCUGACCGUGAGCUCGGCUAGUAUACCAGUUUUACACUCUGCAGAGGUUGUACAUCUUUACCCAUGAGUCAUGAUUUACCCUUUCGCCCGAGGCCCGUCGACCUCUUAACCCACUACCAAGGAAGGUCGGCAGGGAUCACUAUGAAGCCUUUCAAAAGUUCGUCUAACAUGUUAGGGCCGCAAGGUUUCCUUUGCGAGCAGAUAUAGAUACCCCCCUUCCGAAUGGCACAAUGACGCGCAGCCUAUACACAUAGGGACAGGGGCUCGCACUAUACCCGUGUCGGUUCAGCCCCUCUAGCGCCCUUUCGGGUAACCUCUAACAAGCUAGAAAAGGUCUUCAUACUGAGCUAAAGCCAGAGCCAUAAUAGCCCUCAUGGUUGCACUGUUAUCCCGGGUGAUCACGUACAGACAAGAUCUCAUGUCGUUAUUUGUCAUUCUUUUAUGUUCAUUGCAUAGCUAUUAAUCAUCUUACAAGAUCAUGGAUUAUAUCAAGCACUAGCACAUCUACUCCAAAUGCAUAUCAAGUAGGUAGCAAGGAAUCCAGGUAACAAUCAUCUAUGAUUUUGCUAAGGUCGACAAGGUGAUAGCAUGCAUAUGACAUAUAUGUGUAGUUAUAAGUGAAUAGGUAACAAGGAUAAUCCCAAGUUAUACUUGCCUUGCUCAAAGCUCUCCUGAGCUUGCUGGUCCUCAAAAGCUUGGGCUUGGUCACCAACGUACGGCUCACCGUCUAAUCCCAAUCAUCAAUCAACAACACGCAUUCCAAUGGAGACAAUCAUACACAAAGCAAACAAGGUAUAAUUAGAACAUUACACCAAACAGUGGUAAAACAAAUAUAAAAGUUUAUCAAAAUAUUCUACGCAGCGCUACGAUCACACAAACGUAAAGUUCACGAAAAUCGGAAUUAAAACGUGAGAGAUAUGAAUUUUCUAAGAUUUCCUAUAAAGAAAUAAUUAAUUAAAUACUACUGCAGAAUUAAAAAGUUUCAAAACAGUAAACUAAUAUUUCUAACAUGUAGAGAUCGUAAAUACGAAUCCAACGGAAUUUGAAUGGAUAAAAACGGAGUUAAAACGAAUAUUUUAUGAGCAAAACAAAAUCAGUGGCAAACUUGUAAAUAGCAGAAAAAGCAUUUUUUUUUUAAGCGACCGUCACCAGCUCCGGUGCGGUGGCCACCAUGGCCGGAGAGCCGAAGCUCGCCGGAGCUCCUCGACUUCUCCUUUCCGAGCACCGUUUUUUGAAAGGAAAAUACCGGGAUGAAGAGGAGCUCACCACGAUCUCGUCUAAGCGCUUGGUUGGGUCCGAGAGAGAACGGAGAGGGCUUGCCACGGAGAGGAACAAGAUCGGCCACGCCGAGAUCCGAACUCCAGAGAAUACGGCGACUAGGGCUCGGUUUCACAACUUGGAUGCAAAGAGGGAGCCGCGGGGUUUACCUAGGGCUUUAUAGGGGCUUGAUUUGCACAAAAGGCAAGAGAAUCCCGCUGUUCCCGGGAUUGAGUCGGCCGGUUCGUGAGUCCGGGUCGACUACGAACAGAGGUAGGGGACGAGCGUUUUUUUUUUUUUUUUUUUCUCAAAUCUUUUUUUCAAAAAGGAUUUUGGGGACAAUUAAAUACAAACCAAAUACAAUCAACACAAAAUAAACUAUGUCUCAGCAUGAAUGCACAUAAUCAUGUUACUAAGCUUAUGAUAAUUUUUAAUUUUCACAAAAAUUGUUUAUUUGCUACAUUAAAUGCUCACUAAAAUUCUUAAAUAACUCAAAUUAAAUCCUAUUAAUUCCAAAUCAAAUUUUGGGUGUUACAAACUCUACCCCCCUUAAAAGAAUCUCGUCCUCGAGAUUGAACGGUGCUUACUCGAACAGAUAUGAGUAUGACUUCCUCAGAUCAUCCUCUCUUUCCCAAGUUGCCUCCGCUUCCGAAUGCCGAUUCCACUGUACUUUGCACAUUCUGAUGACCCGACUUCUGGUGACUCUCUCUGCUGUCUCCAAUAUUUUGACCGGAUGCUCUUCAUAAGUGAGGUCACCUUUAACGGAAAGUUCUUCCAAUGGUAACUGCCCCUCAGGUACACGCAGACACUUCUUGAGUUGUGACACAUGGAACACAUCGUGCACACCAGAUAAACUUUCCGGCAAUUCUAACCGAUAUGCUACUUCUCCACGCCUUUCUAAAACUUUAAACGGACCAACAUACCUUGGAGCUAGCUUUCCCUUCAUAUUAAACCUCUUCACACUCCGCAUAGGUGACACUUUCAGAUAGACAUAAUCACCCACUUCAAAAGCCAGCUCUCUCCUACGCGUAUCUGCAUAGCUUUUCUGACGAGAUUGAGCAAUUCUCAAGUUAUCCCGAAUAGUCCGCACUUGUUGUUCUGCAUGUCUAAGCACAUCUGUCCCAAACACCUGAGUUUCUCCCGUCUGAUUCCAAAACAAAGGUGUCCUGCACUUCCGACCAUAUAGGGCCUCGAACGGUGCCAUCUUCAGACUUUGCUGAUAGCUGUUGUUGUAGGAGAAUUCUGCAUAUGGCAAACUCUUGUCCCAACUAGCCCCAUACUGCAAAGCACAAGCUCUCAACAUAUCCUCCAAUAUCUGAUUGAUCCUCUCAGUCUGUCCAUCUGUCUGUGGAUGAUAUGCUGUGCUGAAAUUCAACUUGGUUCCCAAUGAAUCAUGCACUGCUUUCCAAAAGUGAGAUGUGAAUUGAGUACCCCUAUCUGACACAAUCUUCUUAGGUACCCCAUGCAAACAAACAAUUCUCUCCAUAUACAGCUCAGCUAGGCGUUCUCCAGUGUACUUAGUUUUAACGGGUAUGAAGUGAGCAACUUUGGUCAAACGAUCUACUAUCACCCAUAUUGAGUCAUACCCUCUCUGUGUACGUGGUAAACCCACUAUAAAAUCCAUACCCACUUCUUCCCACUUCCAUUCCGGAAUCUUCAUUGGUUGCAACAGUCCAGCUGGCCUCUGAUGUUCAGCUUUCACUCGCUGACAAGUAUCACACAAAGCAACAUACUCAGCUACAUCUCUCUUUAAACCAUACCACCAGUACUUCUGCCUCAGAUCUAGAUACAUCUUGGUGCUACCAGGGUGAAUGGAAUAUGCUGACUCAUGAGCCUCUCUCAGAAUCGUAUCACGAAUAGCCUUCACUUCCGGAACACAUAUCCUUUUUCCAAACCACAAUACACCAUUGUCAUCUAUUCUGAAUCCUGGUGCUUUGCCUAAUGCCACAUUCUGUGCUAUCUCCUUUAGUUUCUCAUCUUCCAACUGUCCUUUCAAUAUCUCUUCCUCUAGAGUAGGAGUGACCUCAAUUUCCAUAGCAUUCACUACAAUUCCCAAGUUCAAAUGUGCAAAUUCAGCACACAACUCCUCAGAUUCAGGUGUCGCCUGUAGCUCAUUAGCAUAUUUCUUUCUGCUAAGUGCAUCAGCUACGACGUUCGCCUUUCCAGGAUGAUAAUGCACUUCCAAGUCAUAAUCCUUUAUCAGUUCCAACCAUCUUCGUUGCCUCAAAUUCAGAUCUGUCUGGGUGAAGAUAUACUUCAAACUCUUAUGAUCAGUGUAUAUGUCACUCUUAUGCCCAAUCAAAUAGUGUCUCCAAAUCUUCAAUGCAUGAACCACAGCUGCUAACUCCAAAUCAUGAGUAGGAUAAUUCAGUUCAUGUUUCCUCAAUUGUCUAGAUGCAUAAGCAACAACUCUACCUUCUUGCAUGAGAACACAACCCAAACCCAGACGAGAAGCAUCACAAUAGAUAGAGAAACUCUUACUCAGAUCUGGCAAAACCAACACAGGUGCAGUAGUCAAUCUCUUCUUGAACUCCUCAAAACUAGCUUGACACUUAUCAGACCAUACAAACUUAGCAUUCUUCUCUAACAGAGCUGUCAUAGGCUUUGCAAGUUUUGAGAACCCUUCAAUGAAUCUACGAUAAUAACCAGCCAAACCAAGAAAACUGCGUAUUUCACUUACAUCAGUAGGUGGUUUCCAAUUCAACACAUCUCUCACCUUACUAGGAUCCACUGCAAUACCACCAUUAGAGACAACAUGACCAAGAAAAGAAACUUCCUCCAACCAAAACUCACAUUUACUACGCUUAGCAUACAACUUAUGUUCUCUAAGUUUCUGUAAGACCAAUCUCAGAUGUUCAGCAUGUUCUUCCUUGGUUUUAGAGAAUACCAGAAUAUCAUCAAUAAAGACCACCACAAACUUAUCAAGAUACUCCAUAAAUACUUUAUUCAUCAUGUACAUAAAGUAAGCUGGUGCGUUGGUCAAACCAAAGGACAUAACUGUAUACUCAUAUAACCCAUACCUUGUUGUGAAAGCUGUCUUUGGUAUAUCUGAAUUCCGAAUCUUCAAUUGAUGAUAACCGGAACGCAAAUCAAUCUUAGAGAACACACAAGCACCUCUUAACUGAUCAAAUAAGUCAUCGAUCCUAGGCAAGGGAUAUUUAUUCUUGAUAGUGACCUCAUUAAGUGACCGAUAGUCAACACACAUCCUCUGACUACCAUCCUUCUUAUCAACAAAGAUAACUGGUGCACCCCAUGGUGAUGAACUAGGACGAAUGAACCCUUUAUCUUGCAAUUCCUUAAUUUGUUUCUUAAGUUCUUCUAGUUCAUUAACCCCCAUUCUAUAUGGUCUUUUAGCUAUGGGUGCAGUACCAGGUAGUAAUUCAAUAAUAAAUUCAAUGUCUCGGUCAGGUGGCAUACCUGGCAAUUCAUCUGGAAAGACAUCCGGAAACUCAUCCACUACCAAAUUCUGAGGAUCAACAUCUUCAUUCAGUUGGUUCACCUUGGCUGUGAGUGGUGCUUGCACUGUUACAUUAACACUGAUUCGUUCUCCCUUUGGUGUUGUCAGAGCCACUACUCUCUCUUUGCAAUUAAUAUUUGUUUCAUGUUGCUUCAUCCAAUCCAAACCCAAGAUCACAUCUAUGCCUGAAGUUCUCAUAACCAUGGGACUGAUAGGAAAAUCUACCCCCCUUAACGAAAGACUUGCCGAGGGGCAACAUAAAGAAACUGGUAUAGUCCCACCCGGUGAAUUAACUAGCAUAGGAGUUUUCAUUGCAACUAGUGGAAGGCUAUGAACUCUAACAAAUGCUUGUGAUAUGAAUGUAUGCGAAGCUCCAGAAUCAAAUAAAACUGUAGCAGGGAUAGAGUUGAUGCUGAACGUACCCAUCAUGAUUUCGGGUCCCUCCUGAACAGUUUCUGCUGCCACGUUGUUCACCUUUGCUGAAUUAGGAGUGGAUCUCCGGUCGUUGUACUGCGGAUUAAACUUCUCUGGGCAAUCAUAGGACAUAUGUCCUUCCUUCCCACAACGGAAACACCUGGUAGGAGUGUUAGAGGCACUUCUUUUUGUGGAGUUGGCAUUUGGGUUCCCUGGGCGAGGUGCCUGCUGGCCAUGCUGCUGUUGAUUAUGGUUACGUUGUUGGAAUGGAGGACGUUGGUUCCCACUCUGUGACUGAUUCUGGAAACGCUGGGGUUGUUGGUUGCGGUUCCACUGACUAACUAGUCCCUGGAACCUCUGCUGAUGACCUUGAUGAGAACUGAAACGCUGACGGUUGUUGCUCCCAGAACCUUGUGCCAGCAUCCUUCUCUUCUUAUCCUGACUCUUCCGCAUAUUAUCAAGCACGAUAGCACGAUUCACAAGAGCCUGGAAGGUAGGAUAGGUGUUUCCAGCCAACUGCAACCUGAGUUCAUAGUACAAGCCCUUCAUGAAUAGACGCUGCUUAUCAGCAUCUUCCCUGACAUCAUUCGGAGCAUAGCGAGCCAACUGUUCAAAUGUGUCAUGAUAUUCUGCCACAGUCAUGGAGCCCAUCCUGAGUGAUCUGAAUUCUUCUUGUUUGAGCUCCAUCACUCCUUCAUUUAUAUGUCGAGCUCUGAAGUCCCUACAGAAUUCCAGCCAUGUGACAGGAGAAGCAUUGUUGGGGCGAGCAGCUUGAUACGACUCCCACCAUGUCUGAGCUGCACCUUGAAGCUGUCCAGAAGCAUACAACACCUUCUCCAAGUCGUUGCACUGUGCUAUGUUUAGCUGCCUCUCCACAGCACGUAACCAAUCAUCUGCCUCCAUGGGAUCAGCUGAGUGUGUAAAUACCGGAGGUCUUCCCUUCAUAAACUCUCCACGCUUGUCCCUCACAUGAAUAGGUGGUGGUGUCGGUGGAGGUUGUUGCUGCAGGUGCUGCAUGAAAACGUGCAUCAUCUGAUUUUGGGUUUGCAUGAGUUCCUCCACGGUGAUUGGGGCAUUGCCACCAUUACCAUUGUCAUUGCCAUUGCCACGGCCUCUGCCUCUGCCUCUUCCUCUUGCUGCCAUCUGCAUUCCAAGGUAUAUAAACACAUCUUAGUAAUGCCCAACAUGACAAUUACAAGAGUUAACCGAAUCUGAAAUUUUCUGGGUAACAUCCAACGUCAGCAGGUCAGAAAAUCAGUAAUAUCUCGAGUUCCAGAAUUCAAAAGGAUACAUACUGUACACCGUUGGAAAGAUAAAGAAAUUGUCUACAACUUUCAUUUAGAUCAUAUCACCAGAUUCCAACGUGAGAUUAACCAAAAACUGGGUACAACCGAAACUGUUCCAGAAUUCCAGACUGCGCAGAAACCUCAACUUUAAACAGUCAUAACUCACAGCUCAUAAUAGAUAAUAUGGUCAUUCUUGCGGCAUUGGAAAUAUAUGAAAGUCUACUUUUUCCCAGAAAAAUUUGAUGAACAUUGCACGAGCAUAAUUUGAUUUAUUCCAGAAUCAUUGCAGACUGGUCCAGAAAACAGCAAAAGACAGAAACAGGAUAUGACCCCAAACUACUAUUUAUUCAUGUUCUUACUUAAGGUUCUUAAUUAGAGAACUUGUGGACAUGCCCACAAAUUCCCAGCACUCAUUACAAAAAUCCAAAUCACACAUAUUCAUAAUAACAAAUCAGCAAGCACACCAAGUUCACACCACACUAGCAAAAGACUCUAAAUAACUCGCAACUACUAACGUUACUAUUACAUAUGGGUUCUUUUCUAUUCUUCGGGUGCAGCAUCCUUCAAGAUGGGUUCAACAUGCAGCCUCUUAUGAAGUUUGGGGCGGCCUAACUCCGCUCGAAGGUCAUCCGCUUCCCUUUGCUCUUUCUCCAGCAGCUUCCUCUCACGGUGUAGUUCAUUCUCCAACUCUAUCACCUUGAGUGUCAGCUCAUAAGUCAACUCCACUUGUGCUUGAAGCUUUGGUUGUGAAGCAUCUGCAACUUCUAUGGCCCAAGUCAUCUUCUCUGGUACAAAGCGAGGAUAGUGGUAUGUUGCAUUGUACUGAACAUCCUCAAAGCGUCUACCACGGUAAAAGAUCAAUGCCUGGUAAGCUGCAUCUGCCAUGCUCUCUCUCAUCGUGUCCCGGCUGAUUCGAGCGAGGUGUUUUGAUUCCACCUUUCGAAUCCCCUUGGUGGCAUCCAGUGUCUUGACUAUCAGCUCUGCAACCCAAAGUGAUCUCUUCAGCGGGUGUUUGUGCUCAGUGCAGUUAUACUCCAGUGUGGCCUGCAAAUCCGGGUAAUGGUGUUUCAAUGUCAACACCAAAUUCUCAUGGAAGAAAGCCUUGGGAUCUGCCUCUGGAAUCCACAGCUCAGUAGUCCAUCCCAUCCUUGCAUUAGCAGACUGUGAUGGAGGUGGAUCUUGCAUCUCCUCAUCUUCAGGCCCUUCCUCCUGAGCUUCCACUCUUGAUUCCUCAUCUUCCAGCUCAGGAACUCCAUCCACACGUUGUCCUCCUAGGUUGAACAUGGCACGGUACUCCUCAGCAGCCAUGCGUGCAGCACUGCGGGUACGAGGCGGCAUCUACAAAAAGUUUUUAGACAUAGAUCAGAUGGAUGCAAUAAUUUCACAAUAGAGCAAGAUAGAGAAGCAUAAAUUUUUAGCAAAUAACAAGACCAUAGUGGGAAGCAUGAAGUAAGUAAAAUAAGGACCUAAGUUUUUGACCUUUUGCUAACUAGGUUUGCGUCCUACAGUCAACAAAGCUUUGAUACCAAUUUGUCACACCCAUAUUUUAAGAGCAAAAUAGGAUGCAUAAAAGACUCAUAUGUGCCCCAGAAACAGUCGCACACAUAAGUAGACAAAUCUCAAAUGUACCAUCGCAGUGUUUAUUACAUAGCGGAAUAUAAAAUAUCACAUAGUCUCAUACAAAAAUGAUAACAUAAAGUAAACAACGCUCUCAACGGAAGCUCCACACAGGGACACUGUUGACUGGUUGACUCCAAACCUAGUACUCAUAACGGUAGUCCUCAUUCCAGUCAUCUUCAUUAUCAUAUCCUGAGGUGUUGGGAAAUUGCAAGAGUGAGCACAUAUCGUACUCAACAAGUAUAACCAGGGGUUCAUGAGGCUCAAAUAGCUGACACUGGUUUGACUGCAUUUAGCUUUUAAUAGUGGAUAGCAUGUUCAUAAUUAAAUAGCAAUUCUCAAGGUAGCAUAAAUAAUCAAUUAAUCCCAUGAUCAAUGUAAGCAUAAUUAACUCAUAGCAUAAACAAUAAUCAAAUGAACAUAAUAACAUAACAAGCUCAUCAUCUUAAUGUAGAUGUCCCCAAGGCCGCUCCUGACCGUGAGCUCGGCUAGUAUACCAGUUUUACACUCUGCAGAGGUUGUACAUCUUUACCCAUGAGUCAUGAUUUACCCUUUCGCCCGAGGCCCGUCGACCUCUUAACCCACUACCAAGGAAGGUCGGCAGGGAUCACUAUGAAGCCUUUCAAAAGUUCGUCUAACAUGUUAGGGCCGCAAGGUUUCCUUUGCGAGCAGAUAUAGAUACCCCCCUUCCGAAUGGCACAAUGACGCGCAGCCUAUACACAUAGGGACAGGGGCUCGCACUAUACCCGUGUCGGUUCAGCCCCUCUAGCGCCCUUUCGGGUAACCUCUAACAAGCUAGAAAAGGUCUUCAUACUGAGCUAAAGCCAGAGCCAUAAUAGCCCUCAUGGUUGCACUGUUAUCCCGGGUGAUCACGUACAGACAAGAUCUCAUGUCGUUAUUUGUCAUUCUUUUAUGUUCAUUGCAUAGCUAUUAAUCAUCUUACAAGAUCAUGGAUUAUAUCAAGCACUAGCACAUCUACUCCAAAUGCAUAUCAAGUAGGUAGCAAGGAAUCCAGGUAACAAUCAUCUAUGAUUUUGCUAAGGUCGACAAGGUGAUAGCAUGCAUAUGACAUAUAUGUGUAGUUAUAAGUGAAUAGGUAACAAGGAUAAUCCCAAGUUAUACUUGCCUUGCUCAAAGCUCUCCUGAGCUUGCUGGUCCUCAAAAGCUUGGGCUUGGUCACCAACGUACGGCUCACCGUCUAAUCCCAAUCAUCAAUCAACAACACGCAUUCCAAUGGAGACAAUCAUACACAAAGCAAACAAGGUAUAAUUAGAACAUUACACCAAACAGUGGUAAAACAAAUAUAAAAGUUUAUCAAAAUAUUCUACGCAGCGCUACGAUCACACAAACGUAAAGUUCACGAAAAUCGGAAUUAAAACGUGAGAGAUAUGAAUUUUCUAAGAUUUCCUAUAAAGAAAUAAUUAAUUAAAUACUACUGCAGAAUUAAAAAGUUUCAAAACAGUAAACUAAUAUUUCUAACAUGUAGAGAUCGUAAAUACGAAUCCAACGGAAUUUGAAUGGAUAAAAACGGAGUUAAAACGAAUAUUUUAUGAGCAAAACAAAAUCAGUGGCAAACUUGUAAAUAGCAGAAAAAGCAUUUUUUUUUUAAGCGACCGUCACCAGCUCCGGUGCGGUGGCCACCAUGGCCGGAGAGCCGAAGCUCGCCGGAGCUCCUCGACUUCUCCUUUCCGAGCACCGUUUUUUGAAAGGAAAAUACCGGGAUGAAGAGGAGCUCACCACGAUCUCGUCUAAGCGCUUGGUUGGGUCCGAGAGAGAACGGAGAGGGCUUGCCACGGAGAGGAACAAGAUCGGCCACGCCGAGAUCCGAACUCCAGAGAAUACGGCGACUAGGGCUCGGUUUCACAACUUGGAUGCAAAGAGGGAGCCGCGGGGUUUACCUAGGGCUUUAUAGGGGCUUGAUUUGCACAAAAGGCAAGAGAAUCCCGCUGUUCCCGGGAUUGAGUCGGCCGGUUCGUGAGUCCGGGUCGACUACGAACAGAGGUAGGGGACGAGCGUUUUUUUUUUUUUUUUUUUCUCAAAUCUUUUUUUCAAAAAGGAUUUUGGGGACAAUUAAAUACAAACCAAAUACAAUCAACACAAAAUAAACUAUGUCUCAGCAUGAAUGCACAUAAUCAUGUUACUAAGCUUAUGAUAAUUUUUAAUUUUCACAAAAAUUGUUUAUUUGCUACAUUAAAUGCUCACUAAAAUUCUUAAAUAACUCAAAUUAAAUCCUAUUAAUUCCAAAUCAAAUUUUGGGUGUUACAACAUGCAUGAAGCAUUAAAUAUAGACGAAAACGAAAACUAAUCACACAGUUCAACUGUAAAUCGCAUGACGAAUCUUUUGACCCUAGUUAGUUUAUGAUUGGACAAUAUUUACCACAAACAAACGAAAGUGCUACAGUAGCGAAAUCCAAAAUUUUUUCAGAUCUAAACAAGGCAUUAGGUAAUACCAUGUAACAAGGACUGUCCAAUUGCAGACGAGCUAGCUUUCAAAAUCUUACUUUU